AAGCAUUAUAGUUUAUUAAACACCAAACUUUGAAUUUGGAAAUGGUGAUUAAAUUCACCUAGUGCU
RNAcentral lists this transfer RNA (66 nucleotides) under Linognathus vituli. RNAcentral describes it as "tRNA-Gln". It matches the Rfam family "tRNA". Rfam says of the family: Transfer RNA (tRNA) molecules are approximately 80 nucleotides in length. Their secondary structure includes four short double-helical elements and three loops (D, anti-codon, and T loops). Lineage: Eukaryota; Metazoa; Arthropoda; Insecta; Psocodea; Linognathidae. The record is from RNAcentral.